This is a non-coding RNA of Vicia faba (fava bean), 207 nucleotides long. NCBI's taxonomy places the organism in Eukaryota, Viridiplantae, Streptophyta, Magnoliopsida, Fabales, Fabaceae. The record is from the annotation of a GenBank genome assembly.
AUGGCAAUUUUCCGGCCGCGACACCGCUGUUUCCCUCUUCGUCUCUUCGAGAACAGCCGGCGUUGCCCCUCCCGUCGUGAAGCAUUUUCGCCAGAGUCUUUUUCUUUCUUCGUUGCGAUUCAGUCCGGCGAAGUCAUUUCCUCUUUCGUGCGAUUCUUCGGACAACAUUAUCUUCUCCAAUUCGCAUUGCUUGGUGCAGGGCAUUAG